This 630-nucleotide long non-coding RNA is filed under the name Suricata suricatta (meerkat). Its description in RNAcentral is "lncRNA (ENSSSUG00005014594.1)". The record is from RNAcentral. Lineage: Eukaryota; Metazoa; Chordata; Mammalia; Carnivora; Herpestidae.
CAUAAGGCAACUGGGUCAAUGGAUCACAAUGUUUUGGAAUUCUAGAACCUGGCACAACAGAGCUAGAAGGGCCUUCCCAGAUCAUUUGGUCUGGUCUGCUCAUUAGAUAACAUGGGAUACUGAGGCCUGAUCGGGAUAAAGCCAGGAUCCAGGAAGUGUUGUCAGCGUUUGAAAAGAAGGUGCACACAAAGAAUUCUGUCUUCAUCAACAUCAGUGACUGGGGCCAUUCAUCAGUUCUGACACCCCAAAAAAGGCAAGGAGGAAAGAAGAGAGGGGUGGAGGGGGGAAUUUUUUUUAAAAAGGAAACAAGGAAAACCAUCUGGAUCUAGGGCCAUAGUCCUCUGCCUGGCUGGGCUAUUUACAGAAGUUAAUUUGAUUUUCCCCUAGCAAUGAAAGAUAUAUAGGAUCCCUAUAGAUUGUGGAGUUCAACAAAUCAGAAAGAGAGGGAACAAAAUCCCGUAUUUCCAGGGACUAAACAGCCAAUCCUUUGCUGGGAUUUGGUGGCAUCUAGUGGUGGACUCAAGAGGUAUAAAACUCAUGAGAACUUUCUGGAAAAUUAACAGAGCAUACUUGCCUGAAGGGCACUGUGCUUGGAGAGCAGGACAAAAAGGCCAUCAUCAGAAAAGCUAA